AUUGAACGCUGGCGGAAUGCUUUACACAUGCAAGUCGAACGGCAGCAUAGGUGCUUGCACCUGAUGGCGAGUGGCGAACGGGUGAGUAAUACAUCGGAACGUGCCCAGUCGUGGGGGAUAACGUAGCGAAAGUUACGCUAAUACCGCAUACGAUCUACGGAUGAAAGCGGGGGACCGUAAGGCCUCGCGCGAUUGGAGCGGCCGAUGUCAGAUGAGGGAGUUGAUGGGGUAAAGGCCCACCAAGCCAACGAUCUGUAGCUGGUCUGAGAGGACGACCAGCCACCAUGGGACGGAGACACGGCCCAGACUCCUACGGGAGGCAGCAGUGGGGAAUUUUGGACAAUGGGCGCAAGCCUGAUCCAGCCAUUCCGCGUGCAGGAUGAAGGCCUUCGGGUUGUAAACUGCUUUUGUACGGAACGAAAAGCUCUGGGUUAAUACCCCGGGGUCAUGACGGUACCGUAAGAAUAAGCACCGGCUAACUACGUGCCAGCCGCCGCCGUAA
RNAcentral lists this ribosomal RNA (502 nucleotides) under uncultured bacterium. RNAcentral's name for it is "partial 16S ribosomal RNA". It matches the Rfam family "Bacterial small subunit ribosomal RNA", at positions 30 to 523 of the family's 1533-position model. The record is from RNAcentral.